UACGUAGGAUGCGAGCGUUAUCCGGAUUUAUUGGGUUUAAAGGGAGCGUAGGCGGACGCUUAAGUCUGCGGUAAAAUUGCGGGGCUCAACCUCGUCGAGCCGUUGAAACUGGGUGCCUUGAGUGGGCGAGAAGUACGCGGAAUGCGUGGUGUAGCGGUGAAAUGCAUAGAUAUCACGCAGAACUCCGAUUGCGAAGGCAGCGUACCGGCGCCCUACUGACGCUGAAGCACGAAGGCGUGGGUAUCGAACAGG
This 252-nucleotide ribosomal RNA is filed under the name uncultured bacterium. RNAcentral's name for it is "partial 16S ribosomal RNA". It matches the Rfam family "Bacterial small subunit ribosomal RNA", at positions 524 to 776 of the family's 1533-position model. The record is from RNAcentral.